AUUGAACGCUGGCGGCAUGCCUAACACAUGCAAGUCGAACGGGCUGUAGCAAUACAGCUAGUGGCGGACGGGUGAGGAAUACAUAGGAAUUUGCCCUUAAGUGGGGGAUAGUCCGGGGAAACUCGGUUUAAUACCGCAUGAUCUCGUGAGAGCAAAGCAGGGGACCGCAAGGCCUUGCGCUUUUGGAGAAGCCUAUGUCGGAUUAGCUAGUUGGUGAGGUAAUGGCUCACCAAGGCGACGAUCCGUAACUGGUCUGAGAGGAUGAUCAGU
RNAcentral lists this ribosomal RNA (270 nucleotides) under uncultured bacterium. Its description in RNAcentral is "partial 16S ribosomal RNA". It matches the Rfam family "Bacterial small subunit ribosomal RNA", at positions 30 to 308 of the family's 1533-position model. The record is from RNAcentral.